RNAcentral lists this ribosomal RNA (537 nucleotides) under Aspergillus niger. Its description in RNAcentral is "eukaryotic LSU rRNA". The stretch from base 155 to 308 matches the Rfam family "5.8S ribosomal RNA". The record is from RNAcentral. Lineage: Eukaryota; Fungi; Ascomycota; Eurotiomycetes; Eurotiales; Aspergillaceae.
UCCGUGUCUAUUGUACCCUGUUGCUUCGGCGGGCCCGCCGCUUGUCGGCCGCCGGGGGGGCGCCUCUGCCCCCCGGGCCCGUGCCCGCCGGAGACCCCAACACGAACACUGUCUGAAAGCGUGCAGUCUGAGUUGAUUGAAUGCAAUCAGUUAAAACUUUCAACAAUGGAUCUCUUGGUUCCGGCAUCGAUGAAGAACGCAGCGAAAUGCGAUAACUAAUGUGAAUUGCAGAAUUCAGUGAAUCAUCGAGUCUUUGAACGCACAUUGCGCCCCCUGGUAUUCCGGGGGGCAUGCCUGUCCGAGCGUCAUUGCUGCCCUCAAGCCCGGCUUGUGUGUUGGGUCGCCGUCCCCCUCUCCGGGGGGACGGGCCCGAAAGGCAGCGGCGGCACCGCGUCCGAUCCUCGAGCGUAUGGGGCUUUGUCACAUGCUCUGUAGGAUUGGCCGGCGCCUGCCGACGUUUUCCAACCAUUCUUUCCAGGUUGACCUCGGAUCAGGUAGGGAUACCCGCUGAACUUAAGCAUAUCAAUAAGCGGAGGA